UGGACCCUGAAGAGCUCUUCACCAAGCUUGACCGCAUUGGCAAGGGCUCCUUUGGGGAAGUCUACAAGGGCAUUGAUAACCACACGAAGGAGGUGGUGGCCAUCAAGAUCAUCGACCUGGAGGAGGCCGAGGAUGAGAUCGAGGACAUCCAGCAGGAGAUCACCGUCCUCAGCCAGUGCGACAGCCCCUACAUCACCCGCUACUUUGGCUCCUACCUAAAGAGCACCAAGCUGUGGAUCAUCAUGGAGUACCUGGGUGGCGGCUCAGCACUGGACUUGCUUAAACCAGGUCCCCUGGAGGAGACGUACAUUGCCACGAUCCUGCGGGAGAUUCUGAAGGGCCUGGAUUAUCUGCACUCCGAGCGCAAGAUCCACCGAGACAUCAAAGGUCCUGCUGGGGGUGGAUGUGGCUCUUGUAAUGUCCUGAGCCCCACUGACCUUAGAGAGGCCGGGGCCUGUGAGGGGCAAGUGGCUAGUGGUGCCCAGGGUCUGGAGUAUAGAGAACCCUGUGGCCACCCUGAAACUGAGCAGUCCUGUCUCGCUCCAUUUCCAGAAGAUACUGCUUGUAACGGUUUCCUUGUACGCUGAGGAAACCAGCUGUGGACUGAGUGUGGGAAAGGGCCAUACUUAGCCGGAGUUGUUGGUUCCUUGUGGCGCACAGCACAACAGCAGGUGUAGAAUUGAGUAGCCCCAGCGUGUGGUCUGGCCCUGCUGAGAGCAGACAGGAGGCUGGGCCAGCCCAUGGGGAGUUACUUGCCACUGGCACCGGGCCACCUCUGUCACGUAGGGACGAUUCUGGUGGAGCAGGGGCUUCCUGGCAGGCCCGUGUUGGCCACACCCUUGGUCAGGGUCACCUCUGCGGUAGCCCCCCGUGGGUGAAGUCGCUUGUCGUUGGGAUUUGUUGUAAAAGCCAAAUGCAGGAAGAGCCCUGGAGCUCAGAGUGGAGCCCUUGGACUCCUGCUGGCAGUGCCCCUGUGGCCCUAGGUGGCCCUGGGUUUGAGAGUGGCAAGGAGGGCUGAAGUCCUGAGGACAGCUCUGCUGUGCCCUAGGAGGCCAGGUGGAUGGUACCCUGGCCCUUCUCAGGGGGCCCUGGGUGGAGCCACGUGGAGCCUGGGAUGACGCCUGCCUGUCCUGUGUCAAGCAGCUGCCAAC
RNAcentral lists this small RNA (1151 nucleotides) under Pongo abelii (Sumatran orangutan). Its description in RNAcentral is "retained intron". Lineage: Eukaryota; Metazoa; Chordata; Mammalia; Primates; Hominidae. The record is from RNAcentral.